This 402-nucleotide ribosomal RNA is filed under the name uncultured Pseudomonas sp. Its description in RNAcentral is "bacterial SSU rRNA". It matches the Rfam family "Bacterial small subunit ribosomal RNA", at positions 984 to 1382 of the family's 1533-position model. Lineage: Bacteria; Pseudomonadati; Pseudomonadota; Gammaproteobacteria; Pseudomonadales; Pseudomonadaceae. The record is from RNAcentral.
ACAUGCAGAGAACUUUCCUAGAGAUGGAUUGGUGGCCUUCGGGAACUCUGACACAGGUGGCUGCAUGGCUGUCGUCAGCUCGUGCCGUGAGAUGUUGGGUUAAGUCCCGUAACGAGCGCAACCCUUGUCCUUAGUUACCAGCACGUUAUGGUGGGCACUCUAAGGAGACUGCCGGUGACAAACCGGAGGAAGGUGGGGAUGACGUCAAGUCAUCAUGGCCCUUACGGCCUGGGCUACACACGUGCUACAAUGGUCGGUACAAAGGGUCGCCAAGCCGCGAGGUGGAGCUAAUCCCAUAAAACCGAUCGUAGUCCGGAUCGCAGUCUGCAACUCGACUGCGUGAAGUCGGAAUCGCUAGUAAUCGUGAAUCAGAAUGUCACGGUGAAUACGUUCCCGGGCCUU